Molecule: long non-coding RNA, 266 nt
Filed under: Capsella rubella
Lineage: Eukaryota; Viridiplantae; Streptophyta; Magnoliopsida; Brassicales; Brassicaceae
Description: long non-coding RNA (CRUB_LNC002534)
Source: RNAcentral
CAAUCUCAAUCGCUUUGAUAAGCUCAUAGUCACGCAGUCACUUUAACAAAGUGAUUCGAACAAUAAACAUAACCAGGAGAGACUCUCCUCACGAUUGAAACAUCCCAACAACGCCUUACAACAAGCCACACAAACAGAAACAACUGUGAAGCAAACUAGACAAAAAGACAGAAGAAAAUACAAUCUCACAGACGAAAUUCUAAAACAGAAAUCAACCGCUAACUUUCAAAUCUCUCCAAAUAGAAAGCAUGCCUUGGGUGUUAAGU